This is a long non-coding RNA of Ipomoea nil (Japanese morning glory), 101 nucleotides long. RefSeq lists it as uncharacterized. The record is from RefSeq and is a predicted model, not a curated record. NCBI's taxonomy places the organism in Eukaryota, Viridiplantae, Streptophyta, Magnoliopsida, Solanales, Convolvulaceae. The transcript has 3 exons.
AGUUUGUUGUAAAAAGGAUAUGGGGUGAGAGAGAUUCAAACUCUUGACCUCAGGAUCACUCAGAAGCUAUGAGACCUACGCGCUAGACAACUGCACCACCA